UCUACUUUUACAUCUCCUCUUCUUUACUAUGUUCAUCAGUAAUGGUUUCUGUAGGACCUUAUUUUACUACCAUAGGACAACUGAUAUUUGUAAAGAAUAAUAAGAACAUAAAUUAAAAUUUCAAUAACGAAAUAUAAAAAAUAAAGAAGAAGUAGAGUCGAGAUAAUUAAUCUCUUUCCUUAAAUCUUUAAACGCCCCGUAGUGUGACGGUUUCAUGGCGCUCAGAUUCCCAGGAUACAACUGCAGCAUUGUUUCUGUUUACCAUCACCGAAAAACAGAAUCUACCCUAUUUCUAUGAUGUACUCUCAGACUCAAAAAAAAAAAAAAUACUAGCAUAACUAUUCUGAGUGGGAGAAUCUUUUUGAUGUUGAUCAUAUAAACGUAUUAUCUUUCUACAUUGCCAUGAGGCUCUUUAUAUAAAAAAGUUGAGUAC
Molecule: long non-coding RNA, 433 nt
Filed under: Brassica rapa (field mustard)
Lineage: Eukaryota; Viridiplantae; Streptophyta; Magnoliopsida; Brassicales; Brassicaceae
Description: long non-coding RNA (BRAP_LNC002513)
Source: RNAcentral